Molecule: ribosomal RNA, 265 nt
Filed under: uncultured archaeon
Lineage: Archaea
Description: partial 16S ribosomal RNA
Rfam family: Archaeal small subunit ribosomal RNA
Source: RNAcentral
ACACGACUACAUUAGAUACCCGGGUAGUCCCAGCCCUAAACGAUGCGCGUUAGGUGUAUCGGUGACCACGAGUCACCGAGGUGCCGAAGGGAAACCGUGAAACGUGCCGCCUGGGAAGUACGGUCGCAAGGCUGAAACUUAAAGGAAUUGGCGGGGGAGCACUACAACGGGUGGAGCCUGCGGUUUAAUUGGACUCAACGCCGGGAAGCUCACCGGAUAAGACAGCGGAAUGAUUGCCGGGCUGAAGACCCUGCAUGACCAGCUG